This 776-nucleotide ribosomal RNA is filed under the name uncultured archaeon. Its description in RNAcentral is "bacterial SSU rRNA". It matches the Rfam family "Archaeal small subunit ribosomal RNA", at positions 1 to 728 of the family's 1478-position model. The record is from RNAcentral.
UUCCGGUUGAUCCUGCCGGACCCGACUGCUAUCGGAUUGAGAUUUAGCCAUGCGAGUCGAACGUCCCCCUGUUGCGGGGGGCGUGGCAUACGGCUCAGUAACACGUAGUCAACCUGCCCUGGAGACAUGGACAACCCCGGGAAACUGGGAUUAAUCCGUGAUAGGUCAUCUCAUCUGGAAGGAGAGAUGGCUUAAAGGGGUACGCGGGCUUCUUCCGCGAAUUCGCUCCAGGAUGGGACUGCGUCCGAUCAGGCUGUUGGCGGGGUAAUGGCCCACCAAACCUGUAACCGGUACGGGCCUUGAGAGAGGUGGCCCGGAGAUGGACACUGAGAGAAGGGUCCAGGUCCUACGGGGCGCAGCAGGCGCGAAACCUUCGCAAUGCGCGAAAGCGUGACGAGGUUAAUCCGAGUGGCCCCCGCUGAGGGGGUCUUUUGUCAGCUGUAAAUAGGCAGGCGAAUAAGGGGAGGGCAAGCCUGGUGUCAGCCGCCGCGGUAAUACCAGCUCCUCGAGUGGUCGGGGCGAUUAUUGGGCCUAAAGCAUCCGUAGCCGGUUCCGUAGGUCCUCUGUUAAAUCCAACCCGCCUUAACGGUUGAACCUGCAGAAGGAUUCCCGCGGGGACUUAGGAAGGCGGGAAAAGGCGGACCGGUACCUCCCCGCGUGGUAGGGGUAAAAAUCCUUUGAUACCCCGGAAAAAACCACCCAUGGGCGAAAGGGCGGUCCCCCAAAACGCGCUUCUAAGGGUGAAGGGAUUAAAAGCUGGGGGGGACCAAACCCGG